AAAGAUUUAGUUUAAAUAAAACAUUAAUUUGUCAAAUUAAAAUUACUUUGAGUAAUCUUUU
This 61-nucleotide transfer RNA is filed under the name Idioscopus nitidulus. RNAcentral describes it as "tRNA-Asp". Lineage: Eukaryota; Metazoa; Arthropoda; Insecta; Hemiptera; Cicadellidae. The record is from RNAcentral.